Molecule: ribosomal RNA, 468 nt
Filed under: uncultured bacterium
Lineage: Bacteria
Description: partial 16S ribosomal RNA
Rfam family: Bacterial small subunit ribosomal RNA
Source: RNAcentral
GACGAACGCUGGCGGCGUGCUUAACACAUGCAAGUCGAACGGAAAGGCCCUGCUUUUGUGGGGUGCUCGAGUGGCUAACGGGUGAGUAACACGUGAGUAACCUGCCCUUGACUUUGGGAUAACUUCAGGAAACUGGGGCUAAUACCGGAUAGGAGCUCCUGCUGCAUGGUGGGGGUUGGAAAGUUUCGUCGGUUGGGGAUGGACUCGCGGCUUAUCAGCUUGUUGGUGGGGUAGUGGCUUACCAAGGCUUUGACGGGUAGCCGGCCUGAGAGGGUGACCGGCCAAAUUGGGACUGAGAUACGGCCCAGACUCCUACGGGAGGCAGCAGUGGGGAAUAUUGCACAAUGGGCGGAAGCCUGAUGCAGCAACGCCGCGUGCGGGAUGACGGCCUGCGGGUUGUAAACCGCUUUCGCCUGUGACGAAGCGUGAGUGACGGUAAUGGGUAAAGAAGCACCGGCUAACUACGUG